AUGAAUAAUGCUCUUCUCGCCCCUUAUACAAAUGACGAAGUUCGAAAAGCCCUGUUCGACAUUGGGGAUUUAAAAGCGCCAGGUCCCGAUGGCCUUCAUGCUAUUUUUUAUAAAAGAUUCUGGCCUAUGUUGGGAGAUGAUCUGAUUGAAGAGGUUCUCAAGGCGGUGAAUACUUGCUCCAUUCCAGAGGGAUGGAAUGACAUUGCGAUUGUAAUGAUCCCAAAGGUUAAUGCUCCGGAAAAGGUAACUCAAUUUAGACCAAUUAGCUUGUGCAACGUGGUGUAUAAGGUAACUUCAAAGAUGAUUGCUUCCCGUUUGAAGAUAAUCCUAACAGAUAUUAUCAGCCCAACUCAGAGCGCUUUUGUGCCUAGAAGAAUGAUUACAGAUAAUAUAUUAGUGGCUUAUGAGUGUUUUCAUACAAUAAAGAAAAAGAGGGCUGGUAAAGAGGGUCUAUGUGCCAUCAAAUUAGACAUGCAAAAGGCAUACGAUAGAGUGGAAUGGGUCUUUUUAAAGGAGAUUAUGUUAAAAUUGGGAUUUGAUAAGAAAUGGGUGAAGUUAAUUAUGCAAUGUGUUUCUUCUGUGGAGUAUCGAGUUCGUUUCAAUGCCGAGGAAACUGAGAGUUUUAAACCCACUAGAGGAUUGAGGCAGGGAGAUCCCCUCUCUCCCUACUUAUUCUUAUUAUGCACGGAGGGUCUUACUGCCCUUUUAGUGAAAGCAGAGGAGAAUGGAAGUAUUUUAGGCAUAAAGGUAUGCAGAGAUGCUCCACCGAUUUCCAAUCUUCUCUUUGCGGAUGACUCUUUGAUACUUAUGCGAGCAAAUGCUAUGAAUGCGGAGGCGUUAAAAUCAGUUUUGGAUUAUUACUGUGCCGCCUCAGGACAGAUGGUGAGUGUUGAAAAAUCUAGCAUAUUUUUUAGUCCAAACACAAAAGUAGAAGAAAAGGCACAAAUUUGUACAAUUCUGAAUAUUAUGACUGAAUCCCUAAAUGAUAAAUAUUUGGGUUUACCUGCCAAUGUGGGCAUGGAUAAAAGUGAUUGUUUUCAAUUCUUGAUUGACCGAGUUAUUAUGAGAAUUAAUGGAUGGAAGGAAAAAUUGUUAUCAUCUGGAGGGAAAGAAGUUUUGCUCAAAUCUGUUGUUCAAGCUAUACCUACCUAUGCUAUGUCCGUCUUUAAAAUUCCUAAAAAAAUUGUAAAGGAAAUUGACGCGAUGUCGCAUUUUUGGUGGGGUGACGAGGACAAUCAGAAGAGAAUGCAC
RNAcentral lists this ribosomal RNA (1251 nucleotides) under Triticum aestivum (bread wheat). RNAcentral's name for it is "partial small subunit ribosomal RNA". The record is from RNAcentral. Lineage: Eukaryota; Viridiplantae; Streptophyta; Magnoliopsida; Poales; Poaceae.